GCCUACGGAGGGCAGCAGUGGGGAAUAUUGCACAAUGGGCGAAAGCCUGAUGCAGCAACGCCGCGUGAGCGAUGAAGGCCUUCGGGUCGUAAAGCUCUGUCAGCAGGGAAGAAAAUGACGGUACCUGAGUAAGAAGCCCCGGCUAACUACGUGCCAGCAGCCGCGGUAAUACGUAGGGGGCAAGCGUUAUCCGGAUUUACUGGGUGUAAAGGGAGCGUAGACGGCCAGACAAGUCUGAAGUGAAAAUCCAGCGCUUAACGUUGGAAGUGCUUUGGAAACUGCCGGGCUAGAGUGCAGGAGGGGCA
Molecule: ribosomal RNA, 305 nt
Filed under: uncultured bacterium
Lineage: Bacteria
Description: bacterial SSU rRNA
Rfam family: Bacterial small subunit ribosomal RNA
Source: RNAcentral